GAAACGAAAGCAUUCUAGCCUCUCGUUCUGUUCUUAUCCUCCCCUGCUCUGUAUCUCUCUCUCGUCUCCGAUUCCCCCUGCUCCUCCAUCUGCUACUCCGGCUCGUCGCCGUCGAAACCUGGCCGACCCUAGGUCGUGACAGAUGCCGUCUCUGCCGGUCGACGACGGAGAAACGGCCGCAGCCGAGGAGGACGGCCAUGGAGGGGAGGGCGCAGCCUCGAUCCGGAUGAGGGGAGCAGCGGCCGCACCCCUCUUCUUCCUGAGCAGCGGCCGGCGGCCUCGGCUUGGAGCUUCGCCCUCUUAUUCGCGCGCGGUGCAGCGGUGACCUGAGGGCGAGUUCGAGGCACAGUGGUGGUUCCAGCACACGACGCAGGGGGAUGCGGCGGUGCUUCCUUGCCUCAUCCUUCCGGCGCCAGAUGCACGCCCGACAUUGCCAUGGAGGCUCUGACCCCGACGCACCCUCCUGGUUCCUGGUUGCAUCUCCCCCUGUUUUUCAGGUUGUUGUGUGACAACUUUGCGGUGUGGAGCUGCGUGCAGACGGCGCUCAAGGCGGCCAACUCCGUCGUGGGGCUCGCCGGCAUGGACGUCAUCCUCUACGCGCUUUGGGUGCUCCGGGCCUGGUCCAAGCAGCACUCCGUCGUGGGGCUCGCCCAGUUGCUCACUGCUGGAUUUGCUGUUUUACCCCCCAUUUUUUUGCUGCCGCUCCGCAUUACUCCGACUGAAUUCGCGGCGAAAUCUGUCGCUCGGCUAGCUGACGCACCCACCGCCGACCGAAUUCCCACUGUACUGCCGGGGUAGCGCUGUCGCUGUCGUGCGUGGGGAAACCAGCACUGUACCAAGGUCAAGUGCACCGAGCUCAUCCAUUGUGGUUUAGAUCAGCUUUUGCCUUUCCUUGAAUGCUCUUGUUCAUAUUUAUGCAUGUUUCCUGAUUCCCCUUUUCUCAUCUGUGAUGUGAUGCUCAUACGAAAAGGAAGAGUAAGAAGAAAUCUAUGAAAGAUGAUAAAUUGGCAAUAGAAGAACAUGUAGGUGUAGAAGCUGGUUGAUGCUGGCAAUUGGACUCUUAUCUCAGAGUAAAUUAGCUUCAGAUAUCAUAAUAGUACACUGGUUCAGAAAUCAGAAUAACUACUAUCUGGGUGCAACUUGCUGGCAGGGCAGUUAAAUUAGAUAUCUCAUUUUUCAUUGUAUCUUGCUUAUUACUUUUACAAAUUAGUGUUCAAGACAACCUUCUGUUGUUUCAUUCCAGCAAGUAAGCUUACAGCCGAAGAUAGUUUAUCCAAUCCAAAUGGUGUAGGUCGAACAAAACUUAUGGCUGGGGUAAAAAUAUUUGUGGUGAUCAGCAUCUUCCUCUCGCUUCGCUGUUAAGAUGUCGACGCGGCGCUACGCACCGGAUGAUUUAUACUACUACCAUGUUUUUUAUGUUGGGUCUGAGAAACUAGAGAAUUCAUGCCUCUUUGCCAUGCCAAGGGUAUUCUAGGGAUUUCUUAUGAAUAUACUGUAUGUAAUAUGGGAUGGCUAUUUUGAUUAAGUGAUCAAUUUUUAUGCAGGUUUAUCUACACUCUUCUCAGCCUGGGAAUCAUCAUGUGCUUGCUGACCUGCUCGGGCCGCAUCGCCGCUGAAGCUGCAAACAGCCCCUGACUGUCUUGUCACGUGAUCUUUGUAUUCUUGCUUGUGAUACUGGAAGCUGCAAUCGCCGUCGAUGUAUUUCUGAAUAGCUACUGGGAGGAGGACAAAUCCCACCAGACUUGGCUCUAAUUGAAGUUAUCAUAAGACAGAUCCUUGCAGCGCAACACGCAGGGUGAACCAGAUGGCAUGGCGUUCAAACAAAGCCAUAUUUUUAUUUAGUCUACUAUAUAAUGUACUGCUAUCACUAUAUGGCAUAGAAGAACCCAUAUAAAUCUGUUAUCCUGGACUGCCAGUGGCUUGCUUUUUGGUGUAUCAGUGUAUUUUUGAACUGGAUGAAGAAAACCUACCACCAUAUGUAAUCGACUUGGUACUACGGUACCAUUGUCUAUGAGAUGCAUGUAUUCUGGUUGCUCC
Triticum aestivum (bread wheat) is the source of this 2037-nucleotide long non-coding RNA. RefSeq lists it as uncharacterized. The transcript has 5 exons. The record is from RefSeq and is a predicted model, not a curated record. Lineage: Eukaryota; Viridiplantae; Streptophyta; Magnoliopsida; Poales; Poaceae.